RNAcentral lists this non-coding RNA (102 nucleotides) under Jaculus jaculus (lesser Egyptian jerboa). Lineage: Eukaryota; Metazoa; Chordata; Mammalia; Rodentia; Dipodidae. The record is from RNAcentral.
GUGUCCAAUGAAAGGUCAGCACUCGCCUUGACGAGGAUGGCAGAGACCCAGGGGCCUUACAACACACCUACGGUUAAGGCUUCUCUCCAGCCCGGGCUCCUU